GGGGUGUUUGGGUGUUAUGGCCGUAUGAGGGCAUCCAUGAAUCCAUGAUUAUUUUUCGACUUGAAAUGUGCAUGUCCAGGGUGUUCCUUCCUGCACUGCUAAAAGGGAGAAGCCCACCUAUUUAGCUUUCUACUUAGAACAAGUUUAUCCUUACUUGCUAGUUUUGUUUUGCAAUGAUGAGAGGCUGAAUUCAGGAUUUUUAUAUUUUUGCAUUAAAUUGUUUUAGUUGUCCAUCUAGAGUCUUCUUUGAAAUUUGUUCUAUUGUUGCACUGCUCCAAUGUGAAAAUUAGUCAUUUACCAGAUUGACUUAAAAAGAAAAGGUUAUUACUACAUGUAUUGUGUGUAUCACAAAAAAGGAUAUUAAAAAAGGGUAUAGUUAAAAAAUUUAUCUACCACCAAAAAAUUAAGAAAUAGAUGUUGAUAAGAAUAAGUAAUUACAAUAAAUUAAGAUGGUAUGCCUUAAUUUGUUUUAGUUAAGAAAAACAAUAGUGUAAAGAUGAUUAUUAAAGAGGUAUAUGUUGUAUGGUUAUGAAUAUCACAUUUGUUUAGUAGAUUAGUGGUUCAUUUUUUGUAACUUUUGAUGUUUCCUUGAUGUUUUUAGUUGACUAGAGCAAGUCACCUUGUACUGACCUGAAAUUUUGGGGAAAUUCAUAUUGGCUUAUUUUGAGUUUAGUCUCAGUUUAGGUGGGUUCAGGAUGGGUGCAAAUUUGUCACAUUUACUAGGAAGUUUUUUUAUUGAGCACAAAGCCAACAGGUUUUAAGGAAGUAACCAUCCCUAGACUGUGAAAGGUGCAACUGAGAAUCAUGUUGGCAGCCUUCUUGAAUUGUGAUGUGAAUAUCAAUACCACUUAGCAUUACACAUAAUUUUUUGGAAUGUGCAGGUGACAUCUAUGUUAUCACUUGCAGCUGCAUGCUCAUCAGCAGGCGUUAUCGUUCUAUAUGCGAGAGACUUGAAUGUGUGUAAGUCUCAAACAAAUCUCCCAUGUAACAGGUUCGAGAUUUCCAUACUUUUUGGUUUCCUCUCAUGGCUUCUUAUUAGCAUAUCCUCUCAUGUGAUGUUCUGGAUCCUAGCCUCUUUCUAGAUAACUCAUGUGUCCUUGCUCUAGAUUUAGUGAAUACACAAAUGAUAUUAUUAUCUUUUUUUUCACAUGUAAAUUUUGGUUCCCCACUCCUGCUGUUGGAAUUUUCCUUUCCAUUGCUAUUUUUAUCUAGUUUUUUUGCUCAUGCACAAAGGUGGUUGUGGUUAAGGACAUAUAAGCCUUCAAUGUCGACGUCCUUGUUUCACAACCUUGAUCAUUUAGUAUUUGCUGAUUUAUGGUUAUUUUUUCCAUAGACAUAGUAUAUUAUGGGCUUCUGAGCAAAGUUAUGAUUGGUUAUAUUUGGAAUUACUUAUAAAUUUCGAAAAAUCACCUGGACUUAAUUGAUAAAUUGUUAAAAUUAGAUGGCCUGGAUCAAGAGGUAAGAUAUGGAGAGAGAUUUCAUUGUAGCAUCCUAGGUUGGCAUUUAGAUUAUACAAGGGAUGGCAACAGCUACUGCCACUGCGAAAGCUGCUCUACUUGAAUUUGAACUCAUAUUCGAAUUCAUUUAAUAAUUAAAUACCAGAAGUUAUUUCAAAUCCAUUGUCAUUCAUUUUAAAAUAUUUUUGCUUAGUUCCAAAUCUAUUUUUUAGAAAAUAUAAUAUUUCAAAAUUUAUAAAUACAAUUGCAAAUUUAUUUUUUAAUAUUUUACUAAUUGUUUAUAUAAAUAAAUUCAAGUAAUAGGUGUAUAUUCUCUUAAUUUCUAGUUCGAGAUCGACUUGAUCUUAAAAUUUGUAAGUCAAAAUUAGAUUCAGUCGAUCUUUUAUAUUUGGUUGCUCGAAGGAGCAAACCCCAUCAUAAAAAAUAGAAAGUAUCAACGUGACUUAUUAUAAACCCCACUGUUAACGAGACAAUGGCUUUAGCAUCGGUUCUAAGCCCUUGCCGAUUCAUAGAAGAUAGGGAUGUUUAAGCUGUUGUUAAGCCGAAAUACCUGAGGAGGACAAUUGAACACGCAAUGGGCAUCAUAAUGAUGGAAUUAAUGGACAAAGCGAUAAGGCAUUCUACUCAUAUUACCUAAUGCAGCAUGCUUACUGUAUGACAUCAGCAGAUGUCAUGUCACAUUUUGCUGGAAUCUUUCAGCUAAGUAAAAUCCUACUUUGAAAAUAUUGUAGCUAGAGAGGCAGAUGACUUGACCCUUUUUUGGAUGAUGUUUUCUCAUGGUUUCAUAGUGUAUGGCAUAGUAAUGUUAAUUGUUUUCUCAUGGUUUCAUAGUGUAUGGCAUAGUAAUGUUAAU
Molecule: unclassified non-coding RNA, 2310 nt
Filed under: Hevea brasiliensis (rubber tree)
Lineage: Eukaryota; Viridiplantae; Streptophyta; Magnoliopsida; Malpighiales; Euphorbiaceae
Source: RNAcentral